This 467-nucleotide ribosomal RNA is filed under the name uncultured bacterium. RNAcentral describes it as "bacterial SSU rRNA". It matches the Rfam family "Bacterial small subunit ribosomal RNA", at positions 338 to 795 of the family's 1533-position model. The record is from RNAcentral.
CCUACGGGGGGCUGCAGUCGAGAAUAGUCUACAAUGGACGAAAGUCUGAUAGUGCGACGCCGCGUGAACGAAGAAUCCCUUCGGGGUGUAAAGUUCUUUUAUAUGUGAGCAAUGCUUUUUAUGUGAAUAGCAUGAGAAGAGAGAUAUUAGCAUAUGAAUAAGCAACGGCUAACUCCGUGCCAGCAGCCGCGGUAACACGGGGGUUGCAAGCGUUGUCCGGAAUUACUAGGCGUAAAGGGCAGGUAGGCGGAUCCAUAAGUUUGAUGUUAAAGGCAGCGGCUCACCCGCUGUAGGGCAUUAGAUACUGUGGAUCUGGAAUACGGUUGGGGAAGACAGAAUUCCUGGUGUAGCGGUGGAAUGCGCAGAGAUCAGGAGGAAUACCAAAGGCGAAGGCAGUCUUCUAAGCCGUUAUUGACGCUAAACUGCGAAGGUGUGGGUAUCAAACAGGAUUAGAUACCCCAGUAGUC